This 476-nucleotide ribosomal RNA is filed under the name uncultured bacterium. RNAcentral's name for it is "partial 16S ribosomal RNA". It matches the Rfam family "Bacterial small subunit ribosomal RNA", at positions 30 to 507 of the family's 1533-position model. The record is from RNAcentral.
UGAACGCUGGCGGCGUGCCUAACACAUGCACGUCGAACGGAGUCCAGCCUUUAAGACCUUCGGGUCAAAGAGGGGAAGACUGAGUGGCGGACGGGUGAGUAACACGUGGGCAACCUGGCUCAUAGAGGGGGAUAACAGAGAGAAAUUUCUGCUAAUACCGCAUAAGCACACACUGCCGCAUGGCAGAGGGUGAAAAGAGAAUCGCUAUGAGAUGGACCCGCGUCUGAUUAGCCAGUUGGCAGGGUAAGAGCCUACCAAAGCGACGAUCAGUAGCCGAUCUGAGAGGAUGAACGGCCACAUUGGGACUGAGGCACGGCCCAAACUCCUACGGGAAGCAGCAGUGGGGGAUAUUGCACAAUGGGGGGAACCCUGAUGCAGCGACGCCGCGUGAGUGAAGAAGUAUUUCGGUAUGUAAAGCUCUAUCAGCAGGGAAGAUAAUGACAGUACCUGAAUAAGAAGCCCCGGCUAACUACGUG